RNAcentral lists this ribosomal RNA (254 nucleotides) under uncultured bacterium. RNAcentral's name for it is "partial 16S ribosomal RNA". It matches the Rfam family "Bacterial small subunit ribosomal RNA", at positions 524 to 776 of the family's 1533-position model. The record is from RNAcentral.
GACGAACCGUGCGAACGUUAUUCGGAAUCAUUGGGCUUAAAGAGCGCGUAGGCGGCGCUGCAAGUCGAAGGUGAAAUCCCACCGGCUCAACCGUGGAAUCGCCUGCGAAACUGCAGCGCUUGAGGGAGCUAGGGGCAUGUGGAACUUCCGGUGGAGCGGUGAAAUGUGUUGAUAUCGGAGGGAACGCCAGUGGCGAAAGCGGCAUGCUGGAUCUCUACUGACGCUGAGGCGCGAAAGCUAGGGUAGCGAACGGG